Molecule: ribosomal RNA, 254 nt
Filed under: uncultured bacterium
Lineage: Bacteria
Description: partial 16S ribosomal RNA
Rfam family: Bacterial small subunit ribosomal RNA
Source: RNAcentral
UACGUAGGGGGCAAGCGUUGUCCGGAUUUAUUGGGCGUAAAGAGCUCGUAGGCGGCUCCGUAAGUCGGGUGUGAAACCUCCAGGCUCAACCUGGAGACGCCACCUGAUACUGCUGUGGCUAGAGUCCGGUAGGGGAGCGUGGAAUUCCUGGUGUAGCGGUGAAAUGCGCAGAUAUCAGGAGGAACACCAGCGGCGAAGGCGGCGCUCUGGGCCGGAACUGACGCUGAGGAGCGAAAGCGUGGGUAGCAAACAGG